CCUACGGGUGGCAGCAGUGAGGAAUAUUGGACAAUGGACGAAAGUCUGAACCAGCGACGUAGCGUGCAGGAUGACGGACCUCCGGGUUGUAAGCUGCUUUUAGUUGGGAAUAAAAGGGGGCUCGUGAGCCCCGUAUUGUAUGUACCAUCAGAAAACGGACCGGCUAAUUACGUGCCAGCAGCCGCGGUAAUACGGAGGAUCCGAGCGUUAUCCGGAUUUAUUGGGUUUAAAGGGAGCGUAGAUGGGUUGUUAAGUCAGUUGUGAAAGUUUGCGGCUCAACCCUAAAAUUGCAAUUGAUACUGGCAGUCUUGAGUACAGUUGAGGUAGGCGGAAUUCGUGGUGUAGCGGUGAAAUGCUUAGAUAUUACGAAGAACUCCGAUUGCGAAGGCAGCUUACUAAACUGCCACUGACAUUGAUGCUCGAAAGUGUGGGUAUCAAACAGGAUUAGAUACCCGUGUAGUC
This 462-nucleotide ribosomal RNA is filed under the name uncultured bacterium. Its description in RNAcentral is "partial 16S ribosomal RNA". It matches the Rfam family "Bacterial small subunit ribosomal RNA", at positions 338 to 795 of the family's 1533-position model. The record is from RNAcentral.